ACGUUAAGAUGAAAACACGCCGCUCGGUCCGCCGUUAUCGUGCUACCGGUACUUUUAGGGCGAUCCUGGUUCGAUAGGCGGGGAUUCUCUAUGUCACUCCGCAUAACACACGCCAAGUCGUCCUGUUUAUAAAAUGCUGCUAUCUGCGGGGGGAGGGAAAUCUAUAGAAGAGGCACCUUGGUUCAUUGCUAGCGAUAUUGUUUUUUUUUUUUUUUUUUUUUUUGUAAGUUCGCUCAAAAGCAAAUUGACUUGUUGCCUCCGCUGCUGACUUGAUCCAAGUCGGUAACCUCGUUAUUAAACCGUUUCUUUGCCGGGUCAGGACACAUAAUAUAACGAGGUGUCGAUUCCCCGACGAAGGCGUUUAAAUAAACGCCGAUCGAUCUCGCCCCGGCUCUCCAAAGGAAGCCUGUGCUCCCCGCUCGCCGGCUUCCCCUGGAUCCCUGCCAGGCAUGCCCACACACUCGUCUACCUGACAAGCUCUUCCUCAUCCACUGCUAUUGUGUGGACUGAAACUGAUUAUUGCAAAGGACAAAAAUCAGUAAAGAAACCGGCGGACGAUUCACAAGUGAGCCCUGAUUGGUUGGGUGGAGCCUGAAAAAAAAAUGUUGACUGGAAAACUGGAUUCCAAAGGCAAGCAGGCACCAGCAGAGGGAGGGGCCGACACAAACAGAGGAGCUGUGAUAGCCAACUGGGCCAUACCGAAUUAACGCAUGAAGGAACCUGCUUAGACUCACCUACACUGGCCUGGGGGGGGAGGGUUAAUGAAUCAAAUGCAUUGCCACCAUCUGGGAAUACUGGGCACUCUUUCAAAAAUUAUUUUUGUUAAAACCUACUGGAUCACAGGGUUUACCUGGCAAUUACCUGAAAGCUAAUGACCACCUUGUCACUGCCCUGUCAUGUGACACAAGAUGGCAAAGCCUCUGACCGGGGCCCUUUCUGAUUGUCGGGGACACAAACAAGCAGCCUACUGGUGUAGGAAUAGCCCACCGGUGUUUGCACGUGGCAUUUGCAUUGUCAUCAAAACAAAAGAAGAGCGCACAGUCGCACACCCACGUACAAUGUGUGUAUCACACUAAUGCAGCACGGCGUCAUUCAACAAGGUGUUAGUGUGUGGGAUGGUUCAUUUCGCAAGAUAAAGAUAAAAUAUAAUUUUAGUAUUAUUAUGGCUGUAAUCCAUCCAUCCAUUCAUCCAUCAUCAUCUAACCACUUAUAGGGUUAGGGAUGUCUAGCAGCAUAUUAUGUGUAAAACAUAUAUAUUAAUGCCAGCUUAAAUGGGAGAUCUGGAAAUUAGAAGAGGUUUUUGACUUUUGACCAGUUAACUACUAAUGUGAAAUCGCGAAUACAUGCCACCUUUUCAGAAAUCAGGCAAAAGAAGAAAACAACAACUUAUACAAACCAAAAUCUAAAAGGUCACAUUAGUUUAGGGACAGCCUGUAAUUUUGUUACUCUCAAUACAGAUGCACAAUUAGGUAGCGUUCAAUCGGUUCCCACAUUCCAAGACACACUUGUGGUUCACAACAUGUGGUUGCCAUGGCAAGGAAAGUCUACUGGUCUCCAAGGUACCAAGUCUAUUGUCUAAUGUUUCCUUAUUUAGAAAAAAGGGAUCAUUUGUCAAUGGCAAUACAUGGGUAUUAUGGGAUGGGUUGUGGGCAAUAUUUCCUGCUAAGUUUCACCAUUGAAUAGUCAGUUGAAUCUUUGUUUAAUGAUUAUAAUUUUAUGGGUAAUUUCUAUUCAUCUAACAUCACAGGUUCCAGGAAGUAUGCACACUUACUUACAGUAUGUAUGUGUCAAUGGUUAGUAUUUCCAUUCCACUGUAGUUUAUGUACACCCAACUUUAUGGGUAAAAGCCCGCAUUUGACUGAAUGACAGAAUUAGCCCUUCCAAAGUUCCACUUCUGUCCCCUAUGCAAAAGCCUCAUAUUAUAAUGAGCUGUGGUUUUGCACCGGAGUCAGAGCCAUGGCAAAAAGUCAGCUGACAACGUUUCAGGGAGGGGGUAGGGCCUUGCUCUGUAGAGAUGGCUUGGAAACAAACGUCUGCUCUGCUACUGUAUGUCACAAGAAGUUCACUUACUGUACAUCAAGGAAGAAACAAACAGCUUAGAGUAAAAUAACCACAGGCAGUGCUAAGCCAUUCACACAAAUUCGUUGUUUUUCAAAAGCAUUCUGCAUGUUUCUUGUCCUGUGGUUUUGCUUCAAUGACUAGAUUUGCAAAACAGGAAGUGAUGUCGAGUGCUCUGUGAUAUCACAGCACUUAGACAGAGAAUAGUCUGCUGACGGCUGGAAAGAGGAAAUGGUCUGUUUCAUUUUCUCGCGCAGCGUCAGCGCCACUCGCAUGCUAACAAACAUGUGUACUUAUUUAAGACCAGGGGCCGAAAUAAACUAAUCGUGUGGUCUCUAUGGCACCUAUCUGCCUAAAAUGCGGGCUGUCACCCAUGUUGUUGAUCUCCAUCCUCAAAUAACAUUUUCCUUGGCAGAGUACAUUAGAGCACUUCUUUUUUUUAAAUGUCACAAUGUUGAAUGGCCUCUUUUUGUAUUUUGGUCUGUUACCAAACCGUCUGCCUCUCAAGGCUAUUGCUCGUCUGCAGAAACAUCCUCUUCGCGUUACAGUCUUUCUGUUAAAGUCUAAUUGCAGCAUAUUUUAAGGGCUUUGUUUAAGUCCGUUUGCUUGUUUUUGUUUAUGUAACUAAAGACAAUUCGGAAUAUAUAACGUUUGCGGCUCGAAAGUGACGGGGGGCCUCAGGCGGGAUUGUGCCGCGCUUCCCUGCGGGGUGACAACGUCGCGGGCUGCCGUGCCGUGUGACAGGACUCUGGUCCUUUGACGA
Molecule: long non-coding RNA, 2821 nt
Organism: Brienomyrus brachyistius
Lineage: Eukaryota; Metazoa; Chordata; Actinopteri; Osteoglossiformes; Mormyridae
Exons: 4
Source: RefSeq, a predicted model, not a curated record